This 253-nucleotide ribosomal RNA is filed under the name uncultured bacterium. Its description in RNAcentral is "partial 16S ribosomal RNA". It matches the Rfam family "Bacterial small subunit ribosomal RNA", at positions 524 to 776 of the family's 1533-position model. The record is from RNAcentral.
UACAGAGGUCUCAAGCGUUGUCCGGAAUCAUUGGGCGUAAAGCGCGUGUAGGCGGUCCGGUAAGUCCGCUGUGAAAGUCGGGGGCUCAACCCUCGAAUGCCGGUGGAUACUGUCGGGCUAGAGUGCGGAAGAGGCGAGUGGAAUUCCUGGUGUAGCGGUGAAAUGCGCAGAUAUCAGGAAGAACACCCGUGGCGAAGGCGGCUCUCUGGGACGGUACUGACGCUGAGACGCGAAAGCGUGGGGAGCGAACAGG